CCUUUGAAAUGUAAAUGAGAAAUACCCAAUUUAAUUUAGAUGGAAGAAAAAGAAGAAAAGGGAAAAAAAGAUUCUCAAGGUAGAUCUGCAACAGCGCCAUUGCGAUCCUAGGGAACAUCACCAUCCCUUAGAUUUGCAGAAAGCUGUUUCAUCUACGUGGAAGGGACCAGAUGUUCUUCUCUCCUCCGCAAGGGGGCAUGCAUGUGUCUUUCCACAGGAUGCCGAGUCACCAGUCUGGAUUCCGGACCGCCUCAUCAGAUCAUACAAUCCCAGGGCAGAAAAGCAAAAAGUCUCCCCUCAACAACCGACAGCGAAAGAUGAGAGCGGAGCGUGCCUCAUUCCUGAUGACGCCAGACAGCUCUGAGCAGCGCCUCACUUCUGCUUUCACCAGGCUUCAGCUGCAUGGUCGCUCAUCUACCACGCUGUUGCCAACUUGGGAUCAGCUUCAAGAAUUGGUCUCUGCUGCAAGAGAUAGCGUGCUUCCUCUCCGACUCCCAGUUACUCCCUCCAAUCUUCUCCUGCUAUGCUUUCACUUCUCUUCACCCAGCUUGUUUUCAGCAUCCAUGAUGUGGAGGCGUAUUACAGCACAAUAGGAAAGAGCUGGCUGCUGUGUAACAAAUUUGCCGCUGUUAAGUGCCCAUUCAACCUCACUUGGUCCCUGAAGAGGAACUCAAGGUCUGCCCCCCUGCUGCCUGUGAGCCAGGAGUAGGCACAGAAAGGCAUGGCCACAGCGCUGGUUUCCAAUUCCUCAGUAAUGCUGGAUUUCCACUAACGUACUUGGAUACACAAAUACAGUGUGGUAAGUUACAAUACAUACUAAUCAUUUCUUACAUAGGGCAGCAGUUGAUUGACUACAACUAAUUCUAUUUAAAAGAGAAAGAAACCUGGCUCUUGUGGAAAUAUACAAAGAAAUAUCUACGAUGCUGGGGAAUGAAUUCUGCCAUGGACUGAACUCAGAAUGGGGGGGGGGGUUGGAAGAAAGAUGCAUGGUUAAAUAGCCCACCAGGUUCACAUUGUGUCAGCUUGAUUUAAUUUAAGGACAAAAAGGGGAGUAUCUCUAAUGGCUUUCUUUUUAACCCUUGAAAGGAUCCCUGGGGACUGGCCUCAGUACUUCGUACUUCUUGCUGGGGCAACAAUGCUCAAGGAAGCUUGAGACGGUCAUAGGCACAGUAUUAUGCUAGAUAUACAGAGUAGAUAAUACUAAGAUGUUCAGAUGGUGAUAUCCAUUUAUAUAUACUCUUAAUGUGGACCUAAGGAAAGAGAGAUCAAGGUCCUUACAAUAGAAAGAUCAGUUCCAUUUUUUUCUACCAUUCCAAACUGAACGACUGGUAGGGAGAGAAUGGUAGAUAAUUGAGAAUUCAUAGAUGAUGCUUUGAAUGAAGAGUGGGUUUCUGCGCUGGUUUUAGACAGGGUCUCAAGUAUCGCAUGUUGCCCUCUACCUGGUUGGCCAGGUUCUCUUUGAGCUCAGAUAAACCUCCUUCCACUUUCCAAUACAUAGGCUUACAAGAGUGGCCUCCAAGGACUGUGAGGACAGCAUUAGCCUGUGACAGUUGAGGUGUGCAACCCACAACUAUAGUUUUAGCCACGAUUUUCCAUGUCUACCAGCUAUUUCAGAUUGUUGCUGUUCUAUGCCUGACAAUCAAGGACGCAGAAAAAUAACCUGAUAGAGAACAAGGGCAUGGUGAUCACAUCCUUGCCUCUUCUGUAUGUUCUGGAUGAGGUUUGUUAAAAUUCCAAUAUUGCAAAAAGCUUUAUAUAGGGCCCAUCACAUUAAGGGUCUCUGUGCACUGUUCUAUCUAAAAUGGCCCAAUCAGAACUGACCACCAGAUAACACUUCCUGCAAUCUUCAUAUGAGAGAGAAGCUUGAGCUUUUUGUUUUGAUUUUUUCUUUUCUCUUUCUUAUUUUUUGCUAUAUAAGUUGAGAGAAAGAGAGUUGGGGCCAUGAAUUUGCUCCCAAAAUUUGAACUAUGGAUGUGAUCAAUCAGUGUUAGUGUGUGCAUUCUAUAAAGUAUUCAUUCUUUACUAUGAUAGAUGCUUCUGUGUUUGGUGGGGUGGCCAUUUCCCAGUGUACAGGUGCUGGGACCUUGCUCUAUCCACUUAAUGAUGUUUAUAGCCUCAUUUUAGUUGUUUAUGUGCACCCCCUAUGUCUCUUGACUAUUUUAUUUUUCUGAUAGAAGCUCAUGGUACAUCUUACUCAGGCUUGUGAGCAGUGCUCCUUUGGCGACAUUGGUGCAGAGAGGAGAACCCCACAAGCAGCAUGAGGUUCCGUUCACUGGUGGCUCCAAUAUUGCACUUUCCUCUGCCAACUGGUCUCCACACUUUUCCUAGCACCAUAAAGACUUCAACUCUUUCUCCUAGGAAUUUAUUGGCAAUUGUCAAUUGCUAAGCACAUGACUUCAUGAGUGUUCCCCUAACACACACGCAUGUUGUAACCUACCAUGCAGACUAUUUCUUGAUGUGAUAUAAAGCACCUGUACAUAAUGAGACAGGAGAACUUUUGACUGCAUAUUCAAGCUGGUGUGAAAUCUCAGGAAGUUUUAAUGGCUAACAUUGGUGAAUGAGGACAAUUUGAGUUAGUGAGACAUUUUGGGGCAAGAUAUGGAAGGAAACAUUCAUUUAGAUGCAUAGGAAUUACUAAGGUUUUUUUAUACUCAAGCCUUGAGGAAAAUUUGGCUUUAGAAGGAGGAGAUUCCCAGUGCUCUGCCCCAGGAAAGUCUCCUGGAAAGGGCCCCUCAGCUUAUGCUCAGUACAGGGAGAUUAUUAUCAGGAAACAAAAUCUGCUCCCCAUGACAUCAGCUGUCCCUUCUUGGACAUUCUAUUAUCUCCUAGAGAGUUCUUGGCAUCCUCUGUGAUGUCACCAGUGUUGUAGUGACGACCAGUGCCCUAGUUUCUCUCAUACUGAGUCUGGCGGUUACAACCUAAGACAUGUUUUCCCGUCUUAGGAAGCGUUUUGGGAGGGGGAUCGUCGAUUCUGGAGAGACUAGAGUGAAGGAGUCUGGCCUUUCCUCUCAAAGUAAUGAUGGACAAAGACAGCACUUCUGGGGAAUGUCAAGUAAGCCAUGGGCAGUAUAUUUUGAGCUUCCUGUCAGGGGGGCUGGAGGCUUAAGCUGACCUUUCUAGCAAUGGGCCACAACAACUGGAGCAUCUGAAAAGGAAUUGAAUUUCCAUGAAUAUCACAAUUCUUAAAGUCAAGGAUUUCAGACCUUUAGUUUCCCCAUCCCCACUGUGAGGAUAAGGUAAGGCCAAUGCUAUUAUACUGUGAACUUCUGGCCUUUACUUUUCAGUUCAUUUGUUCUGUUACAUUGAUAUAAUAACCUCAUCAGGAGUCAUGGAGGGUCCACUUUUUCUGAGUUUAGACAGGGCAGCAAUGUACUUCACUAUCAUUGCUUCUUUAAAUACAGUGGAUAUCUGACAGUAGGAACAGGGAGAGAAUAGUGCUCCAGGCAAUAACCUUAUGUUCUUACACCUCCUCUGAUUUCUUCUAACUGGCAUGGUCAUCGUUUGCUUUAUAUAUUAGAGGUUGUAUGUUACAAAAAUUUUUCUACAAUACCAAAACUAUUUGGAACGUGUAGACCAAGAUUCAGCCUGUAACCUAUUCGCACUUCUGGGGCAUUUGGUAUUUCACAUAGGGACACUGAUAAGUCUGUUGAACAUAUCCUCCCUGGAAAUGCGUUUUAAAUCCAAAGUUGUUGGCUUAGAGUAUCAGGGUAGGACAUCUGAGUGUCUCCAAUCACUCAAGUUUUGUGGAUGGUGAAUUUAUCAUCUGAGUUCUGAAGCCACAGGGGUGAGGGUCCUGAAACCAAGCUGUAACCUGUUCAGCUGAUAAUAAUCCUGGAGAAGCCAUCUCCGUGGUACAUGUAAGCACGUGAUGUCCGGCAUAGGGAACACCUGGCUGCUUAACUCUCUUGGUCUCUAUAGAGUAGUGGGAGAACUGAGAUCCACUGAGGAUAGACCAAUCUUUUUGUUUUGAUUUUCAUUGAAGUUUUCUUUUUGUUGUUUCAUAUUUAUAUGUUCUUGUUACUAUUUUUCACUUUUAAAUAUUUUUAAAUAUUUUUAUUCAUUUUAAUCCUGUUUGUUGUAAAAAUGUAUUUGUUAUGAAUAAAAAUUGAAUUCUAUCUCUUGACUCUUAAGACCAUCAUUCUUACUCAAGGGUUCUGUCCCCUCCUGUGGACCUAGAACUGACAGCUACAGAUGGAUCUCUGCAUGUUCCAUGGAGCCUGGCCUAAUAAGUGAAUUCAAAGUCACCAAGGGGUACCCAGUGUGACAGUGUCUUUUGUGUGGAUAAUGUGGCUGUUUCUCUGACACACACUUUAUGAUGUAAUCACUGACACACUUUACCCAAUUGUUAGGGUCCAUGUGGUUCUUCUGAGAGAGCAGCAGAUGCUCUACCCUGUGAGUCAUCCCCACAGCUCCUGUAGGUGGCUUUUGUUAUUCCACAUGAGGUGCUGUAUUAGGUGGACAGGAUCACCUACAAUUAAAUAGAGAGAUCUCAGGAGAUGUGUGUUCACAGGGAACUUACUGAGCCGUGCGUGCUCAGUGUGUUAGGUUGUCAGGCAUCCCUACAGGGCUCUGGUGUUCCCACUCCUCAUUGUGGGUCAGGAUCAUCCUCCAGCACCUCUUAGUGUCCAUAUUAGAGCAGAUCUUUCAACUGUUAUCAAUGAUGACCAUAUGUAUUAUGCACAUCUGAUAAAAUACAGAACAGAAACUAGCUUCCUCUAGGCCAGCUUGGCAUAAUCAGUUUUUUGAUUGUUAACGAGAAAAUUAUUUUAAUCUGAGCCAUUUAGGGAGGAACCUCAAGAACAUCCAUAGUGAAUGUAGCCUGCAGCUGUGAACACAGGUUUCUUUUGGAGAGCAGGCCUGUGCAAGCCCAACCUAGGUGGGACAGUUCAAGCUACCCUUUUUCCAUGGCCAAUCCGGUAUCAUAUUGAGAUGUAUUUUUUCCAGGUGACUGAUUUCCAAUUUAUGGAAUUAAUCUAACUUACUGAGAGUGGAGGUGAGUCAGAGAGUUAAAGUACAGAAGGAAUAAUCCAGAAUGUCCACAAAAGCUUGCUGUCACCCCAGGGCUUUUAAAAGCUCAGCAGCUAGAGAAGCAAUGUAGUAUUUGGGUAUUCUCAUGCUUAGGUCUAGUCAUUCAUCAUAAGCUGAACAUGACACAAAAAGAGUCAUCUGUGUCACAAUAGAAACUAGUUGUAACUAGAUUCACCCCACACUAUCACAUCACUACCGUAUUUGAGGUUCUCAGUUACUAUCUAAGACCCUGGAAGAGGCCUGGGUGUUGCUACACAAACUCAUGAUUUAUGUCUUCAUGACACUGUGUGCUUUGUUCUGUUAAUGCUACCAUUGGCAUACAAUACCUUGGAUACUUUGUGCUGACAUCUGUGACCUGAGACAAUAGUUCAUGUCAUCCUAACCUGAAUAAACUGUCCUUAGCGUACAGUGUUGUAGGAGGGGCCUUCUUUUCCUAUGAGAUAGCAAAACAUUACCACUCUUCAGUCAAGUCUGUCAGCCAUUGUCUAGUGCCUGUCUUGAGAUGUCCACCUUUUCAGCUGACAGUCUUCAUCCAGGCUGCUCUGUAAUUUUGUAGAAGAUUAAUUGGUUCCAGCCUUAGGAUUUAAUUCUGUGUGACUGUACUUGCCAAACAUGCUCAAAGCCCUAUGUUUCAGCCUAGCCCUCUGUGCUUUAGAGAAAGAAAAUAAAGAACCACAUUGCACUUGAAGUUUCUCCUCCAACAAAAGGAGAGCCUGCACAGGGCCUUUAAGUAACUCUAAGCCCCAGCUUCCCCACAACUCCCUCCAUCAAUUCCAUUAUUGGUGUGUUUUCAUUACUACUCACUUUCUUCUUUGUGUGCAAAGAAUGUGCACCAUGUCAGUAAAGUGUGUGUGUGUGUGUGUGUGUGUGUGUGUGUGUGUGUGUAGUCCCUAGUGAAAACUGUGGAGGUACAUGCAGACUCAUGCUACUGCUGUCCCAUGGCACCUUGCAGGGAACACUGAAAUGGUGGGCUACCUUACGACAGCCUAAACCAGGCUAUGCAUGGUUUUCAGUAAGAUUUUGACGUCAUCACCACUACAGAGAGCAGAAACAGCUCAGCAGUUACGUGUUGCUGUUAACAAGAUGAGGCCAAACCUCAUCCCAUAGAAUGUCAGGUACGAUUUGAUGGCAGGAAAUUAAUUCAGGGCUCAAAUCAAAUCAGUCAAUUACAAAUAAAGUGAAAAAUACAAAGAGUCAAGAGAACCAAGUCCUGUGUGUUGGGUUUUUUGUUUGUUUUAUUUUUUUUGUUUCUUUUUUUGUAUUUUUGUUGAGAAGAUCCACCAGAGAGGCAACCCCUUCCUCAAACAAACUGCACACCAGAGACAAUACCUAAAUUGACACAAUUAGAAAUAAAUGGGGGAAUCUAACAUGAGGCAAUGAACAAAUUCAACAACCAUUAGGUCUUACCUCAGAGGCCUUUACUCCAGAAAACUGAAAAUCUAUUUGAUAUUGGUAUUUUCUAGACAGAUAACAAUUACCAACAUAAACACAGAUCUGGGAAGGUACAUGGAUAAUUCUCAGAAGAAAAUAGAUACAGUCAGUAUAGUUUGCCCUCCCAAAAUUAAAAAGCAAAAUUUCUGGACCCUAUGGCUUUAACGCAGAAUGCUAUCAGACUUUUAAUGAAGACCUAAUAACAAUAGUGCUUCAAUUAUUCCACUAUAUUGAAAGAGUAGGAACAAUGUCAAACUCCUUCUCUGAGGCCAUAAUCAACCUGAUGUCUCAACCACACAAGGAGCUCCCUACAGAGAGUGUAAGCAAGCCAGGGGGCCAGGGUGAGUGCUCAUGGUGGGAGAGACUAGCAGAGGUGCUGUGUCCUUGGUGUGCACAGGCUUAGGGCUGGGGCAGGGUGCCUGGUGAGUGUCUGUGGCCACUUGAGCUGGGUCCCAGUGGGCGCCCAGGGAGGUCACAGGCCAGUUGUGCAUCUUCUACCUGUCUGCGGGGCUUCUGGCCCAGCCAAGCACAGCCUUCAUCCUGGACAGCCACAAGGACAAUGAAAUCAGGAAAUGGGGGGAUCCCCUGAGACUCUCUGGCUUCUUUCGCCCUGCACUUGCAGUUGCAGCCAGAGGAAAAGCAGCUGUGAGUUCCCCAACUCUUCCCAACCACUCAGGUCUCCAUGCUUUCCCACUCCAGAGAGAAGGAGGGCAGGGCAAGCUCUGCUGCUGCCCGUUCCAUGCACCCAAAGCCUAACUUUUGUCUGGAGGUCACUGCUUGCCCCUGACCCUGCCCCUGACCAUAAACUUGCCCCUCCCCCUACUCCUGACACUGCCCCUGACCAUGAACUUGCCCCUCCCCCUACUCCUGACCCUGCCCCUGCCCAAGGCACCUAGGGGAAGUGAGGAGAGCCUGAGGGACAGACCCCAGGUCAGGACCCCCAGAGGCUUGUGUCUCCCUUUUCCUAGAAGUGUUAUCCUCAAUUCUCCACACUGGGUUUCAUUUGCAAGGAACUGGCAGUUGGAGGGCUUUGCUGAGCCUGGGGUAGUGGUGGGACUUACGAUUGAGGGAACUCUUUCAGGGAGAUGGAGGCCUUUCUCAAACGCUCUGAAAUCAGGUACCCUUCCUGGUUUGAGAGCCCUGGGAAAGUUGGGAAGCCACUUUUCCCUGUCCUGUGUGACUUUCCCUGCAGGGUGGGCUCUCCUGCAGGAGACACUUUCACAGGCUUCUUUAAAAGCACCUUUUCCUCAGAUCCAGAUCAGCUGUGAAAACAGGCUUCUCCAUGUCAGGGUGAGAGCUCCCCCUCCCAGCUCAGAGCUACAACUCCUUAGGAUCCUCCAGUCACAAUGCUGGGUGGGUCCCAUGGAGGAGUUAGAGCAAAGUGCCCCUUCUGAGAGUUGACUUCUGAGAAGAACAGACCAGAGAGAACAGAGUGCAUCCCAGGGGAGAAAAGAGGCCAGAAUGAUUUUAAAUUGGAGAAAAACCCCAUAUCCACCAUCUAACAACUUUAGGGUGUGUGCAUGUGUGGACUUCAGAACCUUAAGGUCAGAUUUUCUGAUAACAGCUGCUAG
This is a non-coding RNA of Rattus norvegicus (Norway rat), 8030 nucleotides long. NCBI's taxonomy places the organism in Eukaryota, Metazoa, Chordata, Mammalia, Rodentia, Muridae. The record is from RefSeq and is a predicted model, not a curated record.